CCCAGACAGCCAGGAUGUUGGCUUAGAAGCAGCCAUCAUUUAAAGAAAGCGUAAUAGCUCACUGGUCGAGUCGGCCUGCGCGGAAGAUGUAACGGGGCUAAACCAUGCACCGAAGCUGCGGCAGCGAACGUAUCACUUAAAGCGAUUCAGCGGGUUACGAUUGACGGAGCGAAGCGACGUCAAAGCGUAUACAAAGUCGAGUCGGUUUAAGGAUACGUUCGUUGGGUAGGGGAGCGUUCUGUAAGCCUGCGAAGGUGUGUCGUGAGGCAUGCUGGAGGUAUCAGAAGUGCGAAUGCUGACAUAAGUAACGAUAAAGCGGGUGAAAAGCCCGCUCGCCGGAAGACCAAGGGUUCCUGUCCAACGUUAAUCGGGGCAGGGUGAGUCGACCCCUAAGGCGAGGCCGAAAGGCGUAGUCGAUGGGAAACGGGUUAAUAUUCCCGUACUUGGUGUUACUGCGAAGGGGGGACGGAGAAGGCUAUGUUGGCCGGGCGACGGUUGUCCCGGUUUAAGCGUGUAGGUGUGUGUUCCAGGUAAAUCCGGUUCACUUUAACACUGAGGCGUGAUGA
RNAcentral lists this ribosomal RNA (566 nucleotides) under Salmonella enterica subsp. enterica serovar Thompson. RNAcentral's name for it is "bacterial LSU rRNA". It matches the Rfam family "Bacterial large subunit ribosomal RNA", at positions 1084 to 1569 of the family's 2925-position model. The record is from RNAcentral. Lineage: Bacteria; Pseudomonadati; Pseudomonadota; Gammaproteobacteria; Enterobacterales; Enterobacteriaceae.